Molecule: ribosomal RNA, 3037 nt
Filed under: Listeria ivanovii
Lineage: Bacteria; Bacillati; Bacillota; Bacilli; Caryophanales; Listeriaceae
Description: 23S ribosomal RNA
Rfam family: Bacterial large subunit ribosomal RNA
Source: RNAcentral
UUGGUUAAGUUAGAAAGGGCGCACGGUGGAUGCCUUGGCACUAGGAGCCGAAGAAGGACGGGACUAACACCGAUAUGCUUUGGGGAGCUGUACGUAAGCGUUGAUCCAGAGAUUUCCGAAUGGGGGAACCCACUAUCUUUAGUCGGAUAGUAUCCUUACGUGAAUACAUAGCGUGAGGAAGGCAGACCCAGGGAACUGAAACAUCUAAGUACCUGGAGGAAGAGAAAGAAAAAUCGAUUUCCUGAGUAGCGGCGAGCGAAACGGAAAAAGCCCAAACCAAGAAGCUUGCUUCUUGGGGUUGUAGGACACUCUAUACGGAGUUACAAAAGAAAGUUAUAAAUGAAGCGGUCUGGAAAGGCCCGCCAAAGACGGUAACAGCCCGGUAGUUGAAAUAGCUUUCCCUCCAGAGUGGAUCCUGAGUACGGCGGAACACGUGAAAUUCCGUCGGAAUCCGGGAGGACCAUCUCCCAAGGCUAAAUACUCCCUAGUGACCGAUAGUGAACCAGUACCGUGAGGGAAAGGUGAAAAGCACCCCGGAAGGGGAGUGAAACAGUUCCUGAAACCGUGUGCCUACAAGUAGUUAGAGCCCGUUAAUGGGUGAUAGCGUGCCUUUUGUAGAAUGAACCGGCGAGUUACGAUUUGUUGCAAGGUUAAGCGGAAAAAGCGGAGCCGUAGCGAAAGCGAGUCUGAAUAGGGCGAAUAAGUAACAGGUCGUAGACCCGAAACCAGGUGAUCUACCCAUGUCCAGGAUGAAGGUAAGGUAAUACUUACUGGAGGUCCGAACCCACGCACGUUGAAAAGUGCGGGGAUGAGGUGUGGGUAGCGGAGAAAUUCCAAUCGAACUUGGAGAUAGCUGGUUCUCUCCGAAAUAGCUUUAGGGCUAGCCUCGAGGUAAAGAGUCAUGGAGGUAGAGCACUGUUUGGACUAGGGGCCCUUCUCGGGUUACCGAAUUCAGAUAAACUCCGAAUGCCAUGUACUUAUACUCGGGAGUCAGACUGCGAGUGAUAAGAUCCGUAGUCGAAAGGGAAACAGCCCAGACCACCAGUUAAGGUCCCCAAAUAUAUGUUAAGUGGAAAAGGAUGUGGGGUUGCUUAGACAACCAGGAUGUUGGCUUAGAAGCAGCCACCAUUGAAAGAGUGCGUAAUAGCUCACUGGUCGAGUGACCCCGCGCCGAAAAUGUACCGGGGCUAAACAUAUUACCGAAACUGUGGAUGAACCUCUUAUAGAGGUUCGUGGUAGGAGAGCGUUCUAAGGGCGGUGAAGUCAGACCGGAAGGACUGGUGGAGCGCUUAGAAGUGAGAAUGCCGGUAUGAGUAGCGAAAGAAGGGUGAGAAUCCCUUCCACCGAAUAUCUAAGGUUUCCUGAGGAAGGCUCGUCCGCUCAGGGUUAGUCGGGACCUAAGCCGAGGCCGAUAGGCGUAGGCGAUGGACAACAGGUAGAGAUUCCUGUACCAGUGCUAAUUGUUUAACCGAUGGGGUGACACAGAAGGAUAGGGAAUCGCACGAAUGGAAAUGUGCGUCCAAGCAGUGAGNNNNNNNNNNNNNNNNNNNNNNNNNNNNNNNNNNNNNNNNNNNNNNNNNNNNNNNNNNNNNNNNNNNNNNNNNNNNNNNNNNNNNNNNNNNNNNGUGAGUGUGAGAAGUAGGCAAAUCCGCUUCUCGCGAAGCAUGAGCUGUGAUGGGGAAGGAAAUGAAGUACGGAAGUUCCUGAUUUCACGCUGUCAAGAAAAGCCUCUAGGAAGAGUAGUACUGCCCGUACCGCAAACCGACACAGGUAGAUGAGGAGAGAAUCCUAAGGUGAGCGAGAGAACUCUCGUUAAGGAACUCGGCAAAAUGACCCCGUAACUUCGGGAGAAGGGGUGCUCUAUUAGGGUGCAAGCCCGAGAGAGCCGCAGUGAAUAGGCCCAGGCGACUGUUUAGCAAAAACACAGGUCUCUGCAAAACCGUAAGGUGACGUAUAGGGGCUGACGCCUGCCCGGUGCUGGAAGGUUAAGAGGAGUGCUUAGCUUCGGCGAAGGUACGAAUUGAAGCCCCAGUAAACGGCGGCCGUAACUAUAACGGUCCUAAGGUAGCGAAAUUCCUUGUCGGGUAAGUUCCGACCCGCACGAAAGGCGCAACGAUCUGGGCACUGUCUCAACGAGAGACUCGGUGAAAUUAUAGUACCUGUGAAGAUGCAGGUUACCCGCGACAGGACGGAAAGACCCCGUGGAGCUUUACUGCAACCUGAUAUGGAAUGUUUGUACCGCUUGUACAGGAUAGGUAGGAGCCGAAGAGACGUGUGCGCUAGCAUACGAGGAGGCAAUGGUGGGAUACUACCCUGGCUGUAUGACCAUUCUAACCCGCCACGCUUAGCGCGUGGGGAGACAGUGUCAGGUGGGCAGUUUGACUGGGGCGGUCGCCUCCUAAAGAGUAACGGAGGCGCCCAAAGGUUCCCUCAGAAUGGAUGGAAAUCAUUCGCAGAGUGUAAAGGCACAAGGGAGCUUGACUGCGAGACUGACAAGUCGAGCAGGGACGAAAGUCGGGCUUAGUGAUCCGGUGGUUCCGCAUGGAAGGGCCAUCGCUCAACGGAUAAAAGCUACCCCGGGGAUAACAGGCUUAUCUCCCCCAAGAGUCCACAUCGACGGGGAGGUUUGGCACCUCGAUGUCGGCUCGUCGCAUCCUGGGGCUGUAGUCGGUCCCAAGGGUUGGGCUGUUCGCCCAUUAAAGCGGCACGCGAGCUGGGUUCAGAACGUCGUGAGACAGUUCGGUCCCUAUCCGUCGCGGGCGCAGGAAAUUUGAGAGGAGCUGUCCUUAGUACGAGAGGACCGGGAUGGACACACCGCUGGUGUACCAGUUGUUCCGCCAGGAGCAUCGCUGGGUAGCUAUGUGUGGCAGGGAUAAACGCUGAAAGCAUCUAAGCGUGAAGCCCCCCUCAAGAUGAGAUUUCCCAUUUCUUCGGAAAGUAAGAUCCCUGAAAGAUGAUCAGGUAGAUAGGUUUGGAGUGGAAGUGUAGCGAUACAUGGAGCGGACAAAUACUAAUCGAUCGAGGACUUAACCAAAAA